Molecule: long non-coding RNA, 3491 nt
Organism: Peromyscus californicus insignis
Lineage: Eukaryota; Metazoa; Chordata; Mammalia; Rodentia; Cricetidae
Exons: 4
Source: RefSeq, a predicted model, not a curated record
CAGUGUUUGAAAAAGACAUCAUUAGAAGACUGUCUGCAAACACUCUGGACAUCUGGACGAGAUAUUGUGCGGUUAGAUAUCUAGCUGGCAAUUCACUGUACAGACUAAGCUGGCCUCAGAGUGACCGUGGUCCUCCUACACCUGCUUUCCGAGUGCUGGACGUGCAGUCAGUGGCCGAGAACCUGGCUUUAGUGGACGUUUGUUUAUACUUUGGAGACAGGUUUUUACUACGUAGCCCGGGAGCUUGGAACGUUUGAUCUCCCUGCCUCAGUUCCCCUCCGACCAUAACCUCCCUCCUGCAGAGAUUACAGAAAGCUUCAGUGGAAACUCAAAUGCCCAGGUUCAAAUCCAACCUCCACCACUGGUUGAACUGUGUGACAUUAAGUAAAUGGCUUAUUCUCCUGAUGCCUCAUCUUUAUCUGUACAGUGGAGACAAUGAUGAUAAACAAUGAUGGUGAUGGUAGUGAUGUAACUUGGAAUUCAGUGUUUUAGAGAUCUCUGGGAUGGCAGCAAGAGAUUUGCAGACCCAAUGUCCAGUGAAACCGUCUUAACUGCUGGACAGGGGAAUUGUUGGAAAGGAGAGAACAGUCAUCAGGCCGUUGGUGGAGGCCAACAGCUGGGCUGUGAUGUAAUAGAGAAGGACAACUGAACAGAGUCAGAAAAGGAGACAAAGAGCUCUGCUGAAGCCACCGCCAUCCCAGGGUAGCAGCACAUGCCAAGGUUUACACAGAGGAGCCCCAGCAAGGGUAAGAUGUCAUGGAGACUGGAGCCAAGUCAGUGAACAGGUAAGAGAGGAGAAGUCCCGUAAAGGCGGGAGAGGGCAGUAUCUGGAAUUUCUCUUGUCAUCUGUUUUACUUAAAAGAUCUUGUCUGCAAAAGGUAAAGGGAGCGGGGAGAGGAAGGAGGAAAAAGGAAAAACUAGAAGACAGGUAAAUAUGUGAACAGGUGGAACAGUGCGGCUCAUACACAGAAAACACGGAACACAGCUGGCCAGUAAGGGGCCUAAUGUCAAAUUCUACAGCUACUUCGAAACAGCCAUUAUAUAGUCGUUUUUUAAAAAGCCAGGUGGAGGUGGCGCACACCUUUAAUCCCAGCACUCAGGAGGCAGAGCCUGGUGGAUCUCUGUGAGUUCAAGGCCAGCCUGGUCUACAGAGUGAGAUCCAGAACAGGCACCAAAACAACACAGGGAAACCCUGUCUCGAAAACACACACACACACACACACACACACACACACACACACACACACACACACACACACACAACAACAACAACAACAACAACAAAAGAAAUGAAACAAUGCUUAAGUAAACCAAUCAAAAUGUCUCAUCAGCGAAUGCGGGUAAAUAGACAAAAUUAAAAGACAGUAACCAAAUACGGUUGAAGAGUCCUAUGGAGAUGAAAGUCCGUCCCUAGACAGAUGAAGGGUGAAUUAUUUUAAUAUACCUCUGUCUGUCUAUUUUUAGAGGCAGAGUCUAGUGGGAAGGACUUUGCAACAUAAAGAACAGAAAACAACAGCAGAAGUAAUAGUGGAGAAAGAGAAGAGAAUCUCAGAGAAACAUGGACCAGCACUGUGUACGAGAACACACACACAACACGAAUAUCAGAAGGGAAGGCACAGCAACCCAGACAGGAAAAGAUGCCCAAAGCAAUGGAGGCUGAAAGUAGACUGAGUCUGAUUAAAUCAAUCUAGAUGACUCAAAACCCAAUACGUCAGAACCAUAAAGCAAAGAGCCCAACAAAGAGAUAUACAAUACAUUAAAAUGUUUAAAUAAAAGACAAGAAGAGGGCUAAAAUGUGAAAGGGGCUUGCCGCCAAGCCUGACAACCUGAGUGCAUCCCUGGUCACCACAUGGGAGAGGAGAGAAGUGACUCCCACAGUUGUCCUUUGAUCACUGAUGUGUGGGCAGUAACAUACAUGCUGAGUAACACAUGCGUGCACACAUGCACACACACACACACACACACACACACACACACAUAAAUGGAAUAACUACAAAAAUUUAAAAGUCGAGAAGAAAAUAUUGAAAGUGGUAAGAAAAAAAAAACCCACCCUACAUGGAAAAUAACCCUACUGAGCCUUCUAUCUUACUACUUCUUAGAAAGAUGGCGGCCAGGUGCACGAUGUGGUGGGAUGACAUGAUCAGGGUAUCAGAGAAACUGCCAACCAAGAGUCUUGUCCAGUAAAGUUGUCUUUUACAAAUAAAGGCAAAAUAAAGACAAAGAUAGAAAGGAUUUCUUCUCUCAGACAUUCCUUAGUAGGAACUAUAAAAGAAGUUUUUUAGGCCAGAGGUGAGAGAAAGUAACGUCAACCCUCACCAAAUCAAAGAAGCAGACACUGGCAAACACCAUCAUGUAUUGUUCUUGGGAUAUAGUUCAGUUGGUAGACUAGUUGCCUAGCAUGCGCAAAGCCCUGGGUUCGAUCCCUAGCAUGGAAUAAACAAAGAGUGCUGGUGCUCACCUACAAUAUCAGCACUGGGGAGGUAGAGCCAAGAGGAUCAAUUAUGAUGCUUAAUAAUUAUAGCAAUGUAUUUCUGGGUUUGUGAUAUAUAUGAUUAUAAUGUACAUAAAAAUAAUAUCACCGCCUUUAAUCCCAGCACUCAGGAGACAGAGGCAGGUGCAUCUCUGUGAGAUCAAGACGGCCUGGUCUACAGAGCAAGUUCCAGAACAGCCAAGGUUACACAGAGAAACCCUGUCUCAAAAAACAAAACAAAAUAAUAGUAGUAGUAGUAGUAGUAGUAGUAGUAGUAGUAGUAGUAGUAGUAAUGCUGCAGAAAGAGAAAGGAAGUGGCUAUGUAAAUAAACCAUACUUUUAAAUAUCACUGAAAUUAAGUGUAAAUCUAACUGUGGUGCUUUGAAUGAGAAUGGCCUCUGUGGAGUGGGCCCAUAGGCCCAUAUCUAAAUGCUUGGUCAUUAGAGAGUGAUGCUAUUUGACAGGGAUUAGGAGGUGUGGCCUUGUUGGAGUAGGUGUGGCCUUGUUGGAGGAAGUGUGCCACUGUGCUAGGCUUUGGAGUUUCAAAUGCUCAAGUCAAAAUUAAAUGUGAUAGAUUGAACAGAGAGAUCAGAAUAGAUGCAAAAAAUAUGUUGCCCACAGGAAACACACUUUAGGUGCAGUGGGUAUGGCCUUGUUGGAGAAAGUGUGUUGUUGUGGGGGCAGGGUCUGAGGUUUCCUAUGAUCAGGAUACUGACCAGUGUCUGAAUUGACUUCCUGUUGCCUGCAAGAUGUAGGACUCUCAGCUACUUCUCCAGUACCAUAUCUAUCUGCACACCACCUUGCUCCCCACCAUGUGGAUAAUGGACUGAGCCUCUGAAACUAUAAAUAUUUUAAAUAUUUUCCUUUAUAAGAGUUGCCAUGGACAUGGUGUCUCUUCAUAGCAAUAGAAACCUUAACUAAGACAACACUCAUGAUUUAAAAAGAAAGAAAGAGAGGAGAGAAAGAGAGAAAGACAGACAGACAGCAGGAAAAAAAUGAAAGAAAGAAAGGAAAGGAAGGA